This 429-nucleotide ribosomal RNA is filed under the name uncultured Thalassospira sp. RNAcentral describes it as "bacterial SSU rRNA". It matches the Rfam family "Bacterial small subunit ribosomal RNA", at positions 59 to 524 of the family's 1533-position model. The record is from RNAcentral. Lineage: Bacteria; Pseudomonadati; Pseudomonadota; Alphaproteobacteria; Rhodospirillales; Thalassospiraceae.
CAGUCGGACGAGAAGGUACCUUCGGGUACUGGAGAGUGGCGCACGGGUGAGUAACGCGUGGGGACCUACCUCUUAGUGGGGGAUAACGGUUGGAAACGACCGCUAAUACCGCAUACGCCCUUCGGGGGAAAGAUUUAUCGCUAAGAGAUGGACCCGCGUUGGAUUAGAUAGUUGGUGAGGUAACGGCUCACCAAGUCGGCGAUCCAUAGCUGGUUUGAGAGGAUGAUCAGCCACACUGGGACUGAGACACGGCCCAGACUCCUACGGGAGGCAGCAGUGGGGAAUAUUGGACAAUGGGGGCAACCCUGAUCCAGCCAUGCCGCGUGAGUGAAGAAGGCCUUCGGGUUGUAAAGCUCUUUCAGAUGCGAAGAUGAUGACGGUAACAUCAGAAGAAGCCCCGGCUAAUUUCGUGCCAGCAGCCGCGGUAAU